CCCGCCCUGGCGCGCGGCCCCGCGGCACCCCGGCCCCACCUCGUCUUUUCCUCUUCUGCCCAUCCUGUUCUUUUAAGGAGCGCGUUUGCGGGUCUAUGAAGAUCGCGAAACCAACCGCGUUGCUGCAAAUAACCCGGCUGCGGCGGCGGGGCCGGGGGGAGGGGAGAGGCCGGCCCGGUUCGGCCCGCACGGCCCCGGGCGCCGGACCUGGUGAGAAUUACUCACCCACACUUCGUGUCGGAGAUUAGCAGCCAUGAAGAAGCAUGGGAUCGCGGCACGUGGGUGUUUUAACCAUUAACUCGCGGCUUCCCAUCUCCAGAUGCCGCCUUUCUCCGCCCUGGCAGAGAGGAGCUUUUGCAGCCUCGCGUGGAGCAAACCAUGUCCUUGCCGGCGACUCAGAUCCACAAAUCUACAGCUAAGCCGCGCCUCCGGGGCCUGCUGGCGCCGGGAUCCCAGCGUCACCGCCCCUGCUGCCCAUCCCUGGGGUGGGAAGAAUACCACCCACUCCUCCCAGUCGCUGGAGGAGAGGCAGGGAGCAGGGCGGCAGCAGGAAGGGAAAACCAGUACCGUUUACUGGUUGGCGGCUGGCUACGAACCUCUCGGGGAGCACAGAGCCUGCGCCUUCAAGGUGCAUCCUCCCCGCUGGCAGCCUGGGCUCCUUACCUGACUGUCCCUCCUCUCUGCCUCCUGGACAGCGGACGCCACCAAGACUCAGAGGCCCCGCGGAUGUCAGGCCCCGCCGCCCUUCCCUGGUGCCUCGGUCAGAGGCAGCUGCGGGUGGGUUAGUGUAACCGUGGGGAGGGCACUCUGGAUACUGAACCCUCACAAAGGGGAAGCAGCGUUCCUGCAGGAAGCCAGGCAGACAGUAACCUAACCUCGACAUGGACGUUAACCUUGGAAAUGGAACAGAUCAAAAUCAAGUCCCUGGUGGUCUAGUGGU
RNAcentral lists this long non-coding RNA (940 nucleotides) under Sus scrofa (pig). RNAcentral describes it as "lncRNA (ENSSSCG00050049568.1)". Lineage: Eukaryota; Metazoa; Chordata; Mammalia; Artiodactyla; Suidae. The record is from RNAcentral.